GGAUGAACGCUGGCGGCGUGCCUAAUACAUGCAAGUCGAACGCACAGCGAAAGGUGCUUGCACCUUUCAAGUGAGUGGCGAACGGGUGAGUAACACGUGGACAACCUGCCUCAAGGCUGGGGAUAACAUUUGGAAACAGAUGCUAAWACCGAAURAAACUUAGUGUCGCAUGAYACRAAGUUAAAAGGCGCUUYGGCGUCACCUAGAGAUGGAUCCGCGGUGCAUUAGUUAGUUGGUGGGGUAAAGGCCUACCAAGACAAUGAUGCAUAGCCGAGUUGAGAGACUGAUCGGCCACAUUGGGACUGAGACACGGCCCAAACUCCUACGGGAGGCUGCAGUAGGGAAUCUUCCACAAUGGGCGAAAGCCUGAUGGAGCAACGCCGCGUGUGUGAUGAAGGCUUUCGGGUCGUAAAGCACUGUUGUAUGGGAAGA
This 432-nucleotide ribosomal RNA is filed under the name Leuconostoc mesenteroides. Its description in RNAcentral is "bacterial SSU rRNA". It matches the Rfam family "Bacterial small subunit ribosomal RNA", at positions 27 to 448 of the family's 1533-position model. The record is from RNAcentral. Lineage: Bacteria; Bacillati; Bacillota; Bacilli; Lactobacillales; Lactobacillaceae.